AUGGCAUAUUAUUCAGAUUGUCUAGGAGAUGCAAGGAACACUACAAACAGCACAGAAACUAUUAAAGAACUGAUAAGUAAGAUUUCCCAUCGAUUAGAUGAUUUAGCUCGGCAGCGAGAAGUAGUUUUUGAGGAUAGGCCUAGCUCUUAUGAUCCUUAUUCUAGAGGACAUCUUUAUGUUGCUCCUACAUGCCAUAUUUGUGGAUUUCAGGGCCAUUCACCCGCUGAAUGUCAGCGUGGUUACUCUCACUCUCCCAAUUGUUAUGGCAUGAGCUUCGCCCCACAGCCUAGCUCAUACCAAAACAAUUACUCAUAUGGGUGGCCUGAGAACCAGAAUAUGUCAUAUAGGAGCAACAACCCUGAGAUCUCACUGUUUGCUUCUAGUAAUCAUAUGCAGGGAUUUAGGUACAAUGAGGAGAGCCACAACUAUGCUCCACGACAGAUUUAUUCAACUCCUACUCAUAUACCUCAACACCAGGAGAUGUUGCCAAUGGAGUUAAAUGGUCCUCCAUUUGGUCAACCAACAACUCCAGCAACCGUCGAGCAAUCUCAUGUGCAAGUGCCCACACAAGAUGAAUUUGAUGAUAUAGACAAGAUCACAUUGCUUAGUCUCGAGUUCACUUGGAUUGACGAGGAUGAUCCUAUUAGGAAUGUUAUACUAGAGGGAAUGAAGAAGAUCAAGAGUGGAAAAGAGCCAGUGGAAGAAGUAAGGAAGAUUGAGAAGAACAUCAAGGCCGGCAGCACUAUUUCUUCACAGCUUGAGCUGAGUGUUUCUGGGAUUCCCCUUGAUACAUGUGAGGUUCCAACACCUUCAUAUCCAUCCAAGGAAGAUAGCAAGUGCCUUGAGGAAGAGAUAUUUCAGAUUGAAGAAGAUGAACUAGAAGACAAGGAACAAGAUGACCAAGAGCUUGAAUGCCCAAGUGAUCAAGACGAAGAUUUCAAGAAGUGUUUGCUUGGAUAUGAUGAUACAUAUACUGCUGGUGGCAUUGCUCAUAUUAAUGAUGAUCACACUUAUUUUCCUCAUGCCAAACCUAUGCUUAAUGAUAAAUAUCAUCCUCAUGUUAGUAUUGAGCUUGCUGAUUCCUAUCAUACUCGUCAUGUUCUUUAUAGCUAUGCUCAUGUAAUUGGGUUCUCUAUUGAUGAUUUAGAGGGCAUUACCCCUUUCACUUGUAUGGUCUCUUUUGUCGAGUGCUCUUUCAGGUUUUUGCUACUACACCGUUCACUACAUGCUGACCAGGUUCGAGGUGACAUUCCUUGGGACCCCGGUGGAUCCUGA
Molecule: ribosomal RNA, 1275 nt
Filed under: Triticum aestivum (bread wheat)
Lineage: Eukaryota; Viridiplantae; Streptophyta; Magnoliopsida; Poales; Poaceae
Description: partial small subunit ribosomal RNA
Source: RNAcentral